Long non-coding RNA from Esox lucius (northern pike), 1115 nucleotides. The record is from Ensembl. NCBI's taxonomy places the organism in Eukaryota, Metazoa, Chordata, Actinopteri, Esociformes, Esocidae.
GGCAAUUACGUCAAUAUUAGUGUCGGGUAACCAAAGGUCAUGCUAAAGACAAACGCGAGUCAGACGGAAGGAAACAGACAGAAUGGCGGUGGUAAACUUCACUGUUGUGCUUUACAACUGCAAGGUAUUCUCCUAUGUUGUGGCUUCAUUGCCAUUUCGUUUUUGUGCUACUGAUAUUUUCUAUACACGGUCGCGGGAAGGACACAAUUUGAGCGAAGCACUAGCAAGCCUGAAGGAGUUGGACUUCAUCACUCGGAAAGAUAGCCCAGUUGGCUAGCUGGCUAACUACAGUAGCUAAUCUGCAAAUGACUUUUUGACUGUUUUUCGCUAGUCAGUUACUUAAAUGACAGACGAAUAAAGCCAACAAAAAAAACUAAUUUGGGUAUUAUUAUAUAACUAUGCCUCCAUGUAUACCUUAAAUAUUUUAUAAAUAGCUAGGCUACUUGUUGGCAUUUUUCCAGCUUAGCUAGCUACUUCUCCAUUAUUAGCUUGCUAGUUUUGUGCUUGAUUGCACUCUGUAGAGGUUAACAUCAAGAGUAAGCUGUGCUACAAGUUUUUGUCUUUUAAAGUGCAUUGCAGACAAUUUUAGCAUGAUAGCUUAUUUUCUAGUAUGCUUGUUCUAAUCCUGACUUAACCAAUGUUGUAGAUUGCUUGCUUUCCUUUCUAACUUAUGUUCCAAGUUGACUUGUUUUUUGAUGUUCGACCUUAGCAGGGCUGUAUUUAAAUCCUUAUAAAGUAAAACAGUUGGCUUAAUUGUUUUGCAUUUCCUGGAGCAGAACAAGUUCUGUGUCAGUAACACCAUUGUUCAGGGAGAUCCUUGAAAUACACCAUUCAAGUAAAGUCAUUUACCAUCUCGUGUUUCCCCUCAUUGAAAUGUAAUGAUGACAUUGUCAAUAGAAUAACAAUCCUGAAUGGUCAAAUUUUUUUAAAUAAAUGCUAGUUCCCAAGAUGUAUUCACUCUUUUAUAAUAACUUAGCUUCAUGAUUCUGCGCUGGCCUGUAGGGGGCGAUCAAGGUCAGAAUUGACCUUGUGUUUUCAUUCCAUGCCCUUAGCCACUGCUAUCCGGGACAGUUGUACAUACAGGAUUAUCAACUAUACGGAUCUGUGAACAUUUG